This is an RNA transcript of Gadus chalcogrammus (walleye pollock), 3432 nucleotides long. It is a transcript of the gene named E3 SUMO-protein ligase ZBED1-like, with no coding region annotated. Lineage: Eukaryota; Metazoa; Chordata; Actinopteri; Gadiformes; Gadidae. The record is from RefSeq and is a predicted model, not a curated record. The transcript has 6 exons.
AAACAAAUAGGGGGAGAUUAGCACGUUUGCAAUUUUUUUUAUCAUAUUAUCGUAUAAGCAAGUGGAGUUAUGGAGGGUCGAGAUUUAGAAUAUUUAGUAAAAUUGAACCAUACUGCCACAUGCAGCAACUAAAGAAUAAAUCUGGCGGCAGGCCAAUGCCUAAGAUUCAGCUGCGUGUGGAGAGAAAGAAGAGUGAUUAUCGCACUUUCAAUGAGGAGAGCUAUGUCUGCACCGAGUGGCUAGCUGGUAGCGCUAAACUUAAGCUACUAUUUUGCUGGCCAUGUCUUCAUUUUGACAAAGAUUCCUGCUCCCUGAACCUUCCCUGGGUUACUUAUUGACCACUUCGCCACCAUGAAAGAGGAGAAUGGCCUUCCUAUGCAAAUAGGCGGACAACUUCGCAGCGACGACCGAUCUCUGGUCUAGCCGUACUAUGGAGCCAUACAUCAGCCUGACCCUGCACUUCAUCGACUCAGAAUUCUGUCUGAACGUAAGAUGUCUCCAAACUGCGUUCAUGCCCGAAGACCACACUGGACUGAACAUCGCCCUUGGACUGAGGGAGUCUCUGGCGGAAUGGGGAUUACCAGAGGGAAAGCUUGUCUGCAUCACCACGGACAAUGCCGCUAACAUAAAGCUUGCGGUUGAGGUCAACGGAUGGUUGAGGCUCCAAUGUUUCGGGCACAGACUCCACCUGGCCAUAGAGAACGCAAUGAAGGAUCCAAGGAUCAGCCGUGCAAUGGGGGUCUGCAAGAAACUGGUCAGCAGUUUCUCCUACAGCUGGAAAAAAAAGAGGGAGCUUCAACUGGUGCAGAAGCAGUUGAAUCUGCCUGAACACUCCCUGAAGACAGAAUGUCCAACCCGAUGGGGGUCCAGGCAGGCCAUGAUUGAGAGGGUCCUUGAGCAGCAGAAGGCCAUUGCUCAGGUCCUUUCCAAUGACAGGAAACUCAGACAUCUCACACUCUCUUGGCAGGACGUGGAUGUUCUAGAAGCUGUUAAUAAGUCGCUAAGCCCUCUGGUUGUGUUCACGGAUGCACUUUCAGGAGAGAGAUAUGUUAGUGUGUCUUUUGUGAAACCAACCCUUCACCUCUUCAACAAUUCGAUCUUAAAAGACCAGGAGGAUGACACACCACUUGCAAAAACAAUCAAACACAACAUACUGACAUAUCUUAAUGACAAAUACAGUGACCGAACAACCCAAGAGCUACAUGAUGUGGCCUCUGCCCUGGACCCAAGAUUCAAGCUAAAGUACGUUGACGAAGACGUCCGUGGAUCCAUUGUUGAUAGACUGAAAGUGGAGAUGAGGGAUGUGAUGAAUGCCAUGGAGAAAGCCCCGCAUGAAACGGCUGCUUUGCCUGCUGAUGCAGAGGAUGCUGGUGCAGACUGCUGAAGAGAUUGGGAGCACCAGCAUGAUUUGGACCAGGUGUAGGAUAUUCUGCAAAAGACGAAGUGUGGUGAUCAAACCAACUUUCCAAAUCACCAAGUCAACAGUGACAAUGAUCAUGUAAUUUUUGAUACUACAGAUAACAGAGCCUACCGCAAAGUCUGAGCAGUAGGGCUCUUUUGUCGUCAUGACUUGCCACAGUCCAAGAUAGCUUUUGUCCUUGAAUGACGUGUUUAUCGUCAUUUUCAUCAGUUGGAACUCCUCUUUGGCCUUUUCUUUGCUGCAGCCAUUCCUGGCAUGAGAUGGAAGAAUGGCAGGAACAAGGAGCCCCAGGUUCUCCUCCUCUCUGUUGGCGCUGCUUCUUCAUGGCUGCAAGGAACUCAGACAGCUUACCAUCAGGUUUGGGGCUAGCUGCCAUAGCUUCUAUGGUAGCCAAGAGAGAUUCGAUGCCACUAACAGCCUGGGAAGACAGUUGUAUUCUUAAUAUAAGCAACAUGUUAAGGGGACAUUCAGUUUUAUUACUACAGUAUAAUACAUUAUAUACUACUACAGUUUACUACAUAAACUACAAUCUACUGAAGUAAAUUACAGAACAUGUUAUGGCCUCCUUUUUCUCUCUUCUUUACCUGAGGUAGGAUUACAUUGUUUCUCUGAAGCUGCAGGCUGAAGUUGCUGAUGGAAGAGAAAAGGUCUGACAGGAAGUGGCAAAAUGCCACAUGUCCCAUCCUCCAUGCUGACUUUGACCUGCAAAUAUGUAGUUCUGUUUCUCAACUCAUAAAACACGUUAAGUUAAAAUGUUUUCAAUAAUUGAUAUAUAUGUCAACACAAAACACUGAGAUAAGAUAAUACUUACCUUCUUUGCUCUGCCAGCUAUCUGCACUGGCCGAGGCACCUGCCAGAUGCUCCAUGUGCACAUACACGGCUGUAAACUGGCCAGGGGAAUUACCAUCCUUCCCUGGUUUUAGGAAGGUCCUCAAACUCCGGGACACAUGGGGCAGCCACCUGGUCCCUUUCACUCCACUCGGUGCAUUCACUGUGACUGUUCAGCUCCAAGUGCUUUGAGUUCCCUCAUUGAUUUAGGGGUUAGGUGGUAUGUUUUCCAGAUGAGGUGCAACAGGUCAUACACCUGCCCAAUCAUGGAGACCUCUCUUUGCACCCUCAACAUCCCUAGCUCCAAUCUUUACAGAAAAUAGAUAUAUUUGUUUUAAAUUGUAAUUACACUUUGGAGAAUGAAUAUGUAUGGCAGAUAUGGUAAAAGGGAACCUACCUGUGUGGCAUGCAGUGGAAUGAGACAAUGAAGGACCCAAUCUCUGCUUGAAGGAGGGCUAUCACUCCACCUCUGUGUCCCAGAUUGACAGCUGCACCGUCUGCACCCAUGGCUACAAUUUUUUCCGCCCAGUUCUCACAAGGCUUUCUUGGCUGCAGCAUAAACGCCUUAAAUUAAGCACAUAACAUGGAAUAUUUAUAUUCCCUCUCUCUCUCUCUCUCUCUCUCUCUCCCUCUACACACACCAAUAUCAUCUGAGACAGACACAGACACAAAUGGGCGUUCCCGUGUCGUGGGCGUUCUCGUUCACGCAGACUAAAACGCCCCCCCGGCGUUCUCGUUUACGCAGGCUGGAACGCCCAGUUCUUCUUCGUCGAUCUAGUAGUAUGGGCAGUAUAGAACUGACGUUAGCGCCCCCUUCUUCUUCGAUCUUGUAAUACGGGUACGUUAGCCAGCUAGGCCUACAGAAUGUUAGCUUACAUUUAUGUGUCGGAUCUCGGCCCAAACUUUGCAUCAAACUUGAUGCAAAACGAUCAUUACAGGGAGGCUCCAUGAUCUCAUGUUCAUUAUCUUCUGGGUUAGUAUAGGUAGGGUAUUAGGUAUAAGUGAGAUGUUUGAUAUAGUUGUUUAAGAAUAUGCCCAAAUUAAAUAAUGAAUAGAUUAAAAUAACACUUGGGACAUUAUGCAGUUCAAAUCCAGUUACCACCAGACACUAUGAAGGCUCAAACAGUAGACCAUUUGACUCCAAGUGUUCACUUACUUUUCCCACUGAAUGUUUUCAAUAAAGA